UUUAAAGUAACAAUAACAUUUUGUAACAGUUAUCAAGAUUGAUAAUAAGUUGCCAUCGCUAGUCUUAUGUAUAUAUAAUAAUUAAUCACUAUAAAAUUUUACAGAUGUUUUUCUACGUUCAUAACUGAUUUCAAUUUUCUGUUCUCUGGCAGAUAUAGAAUAAUCAAUUGCGUGACUUUAAAAUAGAAUAAUCAGUUAUCACCUAAAAUCGAACAGUAAAAAAAUACAACUAUUAUCAUUGGAUUAUUGUCAUAGCAUAGUAAAAUUUUGAAUGUUAUAAAAAUACUUAGUUUAGUCAGAUAAAUUAUGUGUUAGCAAUUAAUUAUUAUUAUACUUUGGUUAUAAUUAUUCACAGUUAUUAUUUAGGUAUUGAAUGUUAAAAUUCAAUAACUUAAAUAUGGAAGAACCAUUUUUAAGUCAAUUAUUGAGAGUUCAUAAAACAAAUGCAAAAAAAAUUAAUAACAUGAAAAGAAAAAAAUCUAAGUCCAAAUUAGCUAAGAAUUAUUCUUCUUCCCAAGAAGUUACUACAUCAAAUGAAGUAAAACAAGAUAACAUUCAAAAUAUUUGUUGUACCAAAAAAGAAUCAAUCAAACUAGAAAAAGUACCUGAAUAUAUUUACUUUUGUGAUCCAAAUGGGAAAAUUCAUAAAGACAUGCUACAAUACAUUAGUAUUAAAAAUAAAAAAAUAAACUAAAUAAGUUUUUUUACUCUUAUCUAUUAUUGUAAAUGUAUAGUAAAAUUUUCUGUAUCAAAUAUGUUUUAUAUUAUAUUAAAUGACAGUAAUUUAUAUAAUUAUCAAAAUUUGUUUAAAUAGUUUUAUUUUCAAUUAUAAAUAUUAUAAGGUCA
Long non-coding RNA from Daktulosphaira vitifoliae (grape phylloxera), 846 nucleotides. RefSeq lists it as uncharacterized. The record is from RefSeq and is a predicted model, not a curated record. The transcript is spliced from 2 exons. NCBI's taxonomy places the organism in Eukaryota, Metazoa, Arthropoda, Insecta, Hemiptera, Phylloxeridae.